UGUAAUUUAGUGUGUUGUAGGGGCAUAGUGCAUUUUGGUUGCAUUGGUGGCUUGUGGCCC
This 60-nucleotide transfer RNA is filed under the name Bothridium pithonis. RNAcentral's name for it is "tRNA-Gln". The record is from RNAcentral. Lineage: Eukaryota; Metazoa; Platyhelminthes; Cestoda; Diphyllobothriidea; Diphyllobothriidae.